RNAcentral lists this long non-coding RNA (1899 nucleotides) under Elaeis guineensis (African oil palm). RNAcentral describes it as "long non-coding RNA (EGUI_LNC082001)". Lineage: Eukaryota; Viridiplantae; Streptophyta; Magnoliopsida; Arecales; Arecaceae. The record is from RNAcentral.
UUGGAGUCUUGUGGAGAUCUCAAAAUCACCAGUUUGUAAUCUUCAUGGUGGUAUAUGAUUUCUGGUCUUCUCCUUAUAUACUUGAUUUUGUGAUUUGAUUGUAAUCAUCAAAGUGUUCCUUGGAUUUUUAAGUUCUGUUGGAUGAGUUUAAUUGUUAAACUUAGUUUUCAUUAUUGUAUGUAUGUUAAAAAAUUUUGAAAUCUAUAUUCUGCUACAUCACCAGAACCCAACAUUCUCAAAUACUUAAAGGAUAACUUUCUAGUGAUUCUCAUCCAGAUCUUGCAGAUAUCCACUCACUACUCUUAGUGAGUAUACCGUAUCCGAUCAAGUACAUGAUGUAUAUGAUAGAACAAAUUCUACUGAUAAACACUCUAUGUAUGUUGGACUGGGAUAAGCUAAGCAGCUUCUUAAAUCUAUCUCUAUAGAUCUUCAUCCCUAGGAUGAGAGAUGCUUUUCCAAAGUCCUUUAUGGAGAACUAUGAUAAUAGUGAAACAUUUAUUCUCUGUAAUGCAAGGAAUGUCAUUCCCGAUUAAAAAAAUUUUAUUCAUAUACAAAAUAAGAAAUACACUCAUAUAACUAUUAACCCAUUUGUAUUUGCAAGGUUCUUCUUCGUUCUCAAUGAAGUCAUGUAUUUUGAUCACUUAUCAAAAUGUAUGUUCCAACUUCGAAAUAUUUAGCAUUACGAUAUCCACUCACUACUCUUAGUAAGUAUACCGUAUCCGAUCAAGUACAUGAUGUAUAUGAUAGAAUAAAUUCUACUGAUAAACACUCUAUGUAUGUUGGACUGGGAUAAGCCAAGCAACUUCUUAAAUCUAUCUCUAUAGAUCUUCAUCCCUAGGAUGAGAGAUACUUUUCCAAAGUCUUUUAUGGAGAACUAUGAUAAUAGCAAAAUAUUUAUUCCCUAUAAUGCAAGGAAUGUCAUUUUCGAUUAAAAAAAUUUUAUUCAUAUACAAAAUAAGAAAUACACUCAUAUAACUAUUAACCCAUUUGUAUUUACAAGGUUCUUCUUCAUUCUCAACGAAGUCAUGUAUUUUGAUCACUUAUCAAAAUGCAUGUUCCAACUUCGAAAUAUUUAGCAUUACCUUAGAAAAAAAUAUCUCAUUAUGGUCAAUACCAUAAUGUUAACGAUACCCUUAGGCAACCAGAUAAGCUUUGUAGGUCUUCACCUUCUUAUCUAUGCUCUUUGAUACUAUUGAAGAUCCACUUACAUCCUAUGAGUUUUAUCCCUUCGAGUGAAUCAAUGAGUGCCCAUACACUAUUGAUCUUCAUGGACUCUAUUUCGGACUCUAUAGCUCUAAGCUAUUAAUCAGAGUCGAAUCUCUGCAUGGCAUCCAUAUACGUAAUCAUAUUCUUAUUGUUCUCAUCGAGUUCAACAACAAUCACGUUUCGAAACUAGAAACCAAAGUAUCUAUCCAACAGAUAUGGUACCAUAUCGGAUCUCCUUAAUGGUGCUUUUACAAUAGGUUUUAGGUUUGAUCUAAUUAAAUCUGGUUCUUUGGAUUCACUAAAUUAUAUCGGUUCUUUUACCUGUCAAACUUCAUAAGUUCAACAUUAAAGAUAUCAGUACCUUCAUCAAGGUACUUUUUUUCUGAAAAGAAUGCCAAACAACUCUUGUUCUUUAGUAAGGUAGAAGUUAAAUCCUCUAGAUUCUUUAGGAUUAUCCUACAAAAAUACAUAUACUAUCGAGAUCCAAGCUAAUUAGUCUGCAAUUGCUUGACAUAAGUCAAACACUCUCAAAUCCUAAGAUAAGAGAAUAUCGGCUUAUGCCUAGUCCAUAUCUCAUGUGAAGUCAUUACGACUGAUUAAUUCGAAAUCCAAUUCAGAACAUAACAAGCAGUCUCAAAAGCAUAAUCUUAAAAAGAGAUCGACAAACUUGUAAACCCCAUCAUGGAUCGAACU